UGGGUUAGUCCGCACGAGCGCACCUUACUUCAUUGCCAGCACGUUAUGGUGGGAACUUUGAAGGAACUGCCGGUGAUAAGCCGGAGGAAGGUGGGGAUGACGUCAAGUCCUCAUGGCCCUUACGGGCCGGGCUACACACGUGAUACAAUGGUAACUACAAAAGGCAGCGAAGGAGCGAUCUGGAGCAAAUCUCUAAAAGUUACCUCAGUUCGGAUUGCACUCUGCAACUCGAGUGCAUGAAGUUGGAAUCGCUAGUAAUCGUAGAUCAGCGCGCUACGGUGAAUACGUUCCCGGGUCUUGUACACACCGCCCGUCACACCAUGGGAGUUGGUUUUACCUGAAGCUGGUUCGCUAACCGUAAGGAGGCAGCCAACCACGGUAAGAUUAGCGACUGGGGUGAAGUCGUAACAAGGUAACCGUAGGGGAACCUGCGGUUGGAUCACCUCCUUUCU
This 452-nucleotide ribosomal RNA is filed under the name uncultured Alphaproteobacteria bacterium. Its description in RNAcentral is "bacterial SSU rRNA". It matches the Rfam family "Bacterial small subunit ribosomal RNA", at positions 1077 to 1533 of the family's 1533-position model. Lineage: Bacteria; Pseudomonadati; Pseudomonadota; Alphaproteobacteria. The record is from RNAcentral.